Molecule: non-coding RNA, 116 nt
Organism: Picea glauca (white spruce)
Lineage: Eukaryota; Viridiplantae; Streptophyta; Pinopsida; Pinales; Pinaceae
Source: Rfam
UAAGACUUAUAACAUAGUGUUAAUGCAUUGUAUCCCAUUAGAACUCUGCAUUUAAGUGUGCUUAGGGUAGAGCAGUAAUGGGAUGGGUGACCGCCCAGGAAGUGCUAGUGUUUUAC